CGGGUGGGCCCUCGAAAUCCUCCGGCGGGGGGAUUCAGUCAGGAAAGGCGGAGGUGCGCGACGAUCGAUUCAGACGGACCCUUUUUCCAAGGCCGGGUCGACGCGCACGGUCUCCUCGCUUUGCCUGACGCAUUUCCUCCCGCACCAAGGACGCCGCAGCCGGUCGGGUAGCUGCGUGAGUCGGCCAUGAGGACGGGCGACGGCAGGUGGCCGGUGGCGUCGCCUCUUUUGGCCGUCGCCGCCGGUUGUUAGCCGGCCCGUCCGUGGCGCGACACCCGACCGAGGUUGCACGGUUCCCGCACGGGAACCCGCCGUCCCCUUCCUCCUCUACACGGGGAGGGAGCGGGCGCCCCGACAGGCGCAUCGCGGUGUCGCCUCGUCACUCUCCGUAGUGUCCGGCGCUCCGAGUUCGCUGUUGGUCGGGUGCGUGCCCGCAGGGGUUGCAGGCGGCUAGCGGCGAGUAGGUCGGUCACCCACCCGUCCCGUCUUGAAACACGGACCAAGGAGUCUAACAUGUGCGCGAGUCACGGGGUCUUGAUCAGGCCCAGAGGCGCAAUGAAAGUGAAGGUCGGGUUCUCGACCCGACUGCGUUGGGAUUCGUUCCCGCGGGCCCGGUCCGGUCAAAAAGACAAGGUCCGCGGGCGAAGCACCAACGACCCGUCCUAUCCGAUUCAUCGGUUGGGCGGAGUCUGAGCGUACACGUUGGGACCCGAAAGAUGGUGAACUAUGCCUGGGCAGGACGAAGCCAGAGGAAACUCUGGUGGAGGUCCGUAGCGGUUCUGACGUGCAAAUCGAUC
Molecule: ribosomal RNA, 797 nt
Filed under: Afrilobus sp. CASENT9037121
Lineage: Eukaryota; Metazoa; Arthropoda; Arachnida; Araneae; Orsolobidae
Description: eukaryotic LSU rRNA
Rfam family: Eukaryotic large subunit ribosomal RNA (bases 499-797)
Source: RNAcentral